GCCCCAAUAGUAAAAUGGUUAUUACGAGCCCCUCCUAAGGGCUAAUUGUAGGCUCGAUUCCUACUUGGGGUGCCA
This is a transfer RNA of 75 nucleotides. It matches the Rfam family "tRNA". From Rfam's summary of the family: Transfer RNA (tRNA) molecules are approximately 80 nucleotides in length. Their secondary structure includes four short double-helical elements and three loops (D, anti-codon, and T loops).